RNAcentral lists this ribosomal RNA (497 nucleotides) under uncultured bacterium. RNAcentral describes it as "partial 16S ribosomal RNA". It matches the Rfam family "Bacterial small subunit ribosomal RNA", at positions 28 to 507 of the family's 1533-position model. The record is from RNAcentral.
GACGAACGCUGGCGGCGUGCCUAAUACAUGCAAGUUGAGCGCUGAAGGUUGGUACUUGUACCGACUGGAUGAGCAGCGAACGGGUGAGUAACGCGUGGGGAAUCUGCCUUUGAGCGGGGGACAACAUUUGGAAACGAAUGCUAAUACCGCAUAAAAACUUUAAACACAAGUUUUAAGUUUGAAAGAUGCAAUUGCAUCACUCAAAGAUGAUCCCGCGUUGUAUUAGCUAGUUGGUGAGGUAAAGGCUCACCAAGGCGAUGAUACAUAGCCGACCUGAGAGGGUGAUCGGCCACAUUGGGACUGAGACACGGCCCAAACUCCUACGGGAGGCAGCAGUAGGGAAUCUUCGGCAAUGGACGAAAGUCUGAACGAGCAACGCCGCGUGAGUGAAGAAGGUUUUCGGAUCGUAAAACUCUGUUGGUAGAGAAGAACGUUGGUGAGAGUGGAAAGCUCAUCAAGUGACGGUAACUACCCAGAAAGGGACGGCUAACUACGUG